This 492-nucleotide ribosomal RNA is filed under the name uncultured bacterium. Its description in RNAcentral is "partial 16S ribosomal RNA". It matches the Rfam family "Bacterial small subunit ribosomal RNA", at positions 29 to 507 of the family's 1533-position model. The record is from RNAcentral.
AGUGAACGCUGGCGGUAGGCCUAACACAUGCAAGUCGAACGGCAGCACAGUAAGAGCUUGCUCUUACGGGUGGCGAGUGGCGGACGGGUGAGGAAUACAUCGGAAUCUACUUUUUCGUGGGGGAUAACGUAGGGAAACUUACGCUAAUACCGCAUACGACCUACGGGUGAAAGCAGGGGAUCUUCGGACCUUGCGCGAUUGAAUGAGCCGAUGUCGGAUUAGCUAGUUGGCGGGGUAAAGGCCCACCAAGGCGACGAUCCGUAGCUGGUCUGAGAGGCUGAUCAGCCACACGGGAACUGAGACACGGUCCAGGCUCCUACGGGAGGCAGCAGUGGGGAAUAUUGGGCAAUGGGCGCAAGCCUGGUCCAGCCAUACCGCGUGGGUUGCGAAGGCGUUCGGGUUGUGAAGCCCUUUUGUUGGGAGAGAAAAGCAGCAGGUUAAUACGCCGCUGUUCUGACGGUACCCAAAGAAUAAGCACCGGCUAACUUCGUG